GUGGGGAAUAUUGGACAAUGGGCGAAAGCCUGAUCCAGCCAUGCCGCGUGUGUGAAGAAGGUCUUCGGAUUGUAAAGCACUUUAAGUUGGGAGGAAGGGCAGUAAGUUAAUACCUUGCUGUUUUGACGUUACCGACAGAAUAAGCACCGGCUAACUUCGUGCCAGCAGCCGCGGUAAUACGGAGGGUGCAAACGUUGUUCGGAAUCAUUGGGCGUAAAGCGCACGCAGGCGGUUUAUCAGGUCGGAUGUGAAAUGCCGGGGCUCAACCCCGGAACUGCGUUCGAAACCGGUAAGCUGGAGUCACGGAGGGAGAAGGGGAAUUCCUGGUGUAGGGGUGAAAUCCGUAGAGAUCAGGAGGAACACCGGCGGCGAAAGCGCCUUCUUGGACGAUGACUGACGCUGAGGUGCGAAAGCGUGGGGAGCAAACAGGAUUAGAUACCCGGGUAGUCC
RNAcentral lists this ribosomal RNA (450 nucleotides) under uncultured bacterium. Its description in RNAcentral is "partial 16S ribosomal RNA". It matches the Rfam family "Bacterial small subunit ribosomal RNA", at positions 354 to 796 of the family's 1533-position model. The record is from RNAcentral.